This 253-nucleotide ribosomal RNA is filed under the name uncultured bacterium. Its description in RNAcentral is "partial 16S ribosomal RNA". It matches the Rfam family "Bacterial small subunit ribosomal RNA", at positions 524 to 776 of the family's 1533-position model. The record is from RNAcentral.
UACGAAGGUCUCAAGCGUUAGGCGGAAUCACUGGGCUUAAAGCGUGUGUAGGUGGGUUUGUAAGUACCUUGUGAAAUCCCAUGGCUCAACCAUGGAACUGCUUGGUAUACUGCGAAUCUUGAACUGUCUAGAGGUUACUGGAACAAACGGUGGAGCGGUGAAAUGCGUAGAUAUCGUUUGGAACGCCAAUGGUGAAAACAGGUAACUGGGGACACGCUGACACUGAGACACGAAAGCCAGGGGAGCAAACGGG